RNAcentral lists this ribosomal RNA (301 nucleotides) under uncultured bacterium. RNAcentral describes it as "partial 16S ribosomal RNA". It matches the Rfam family "Bacterial small subunit ribosomal RNA", at positions 509 to 807 of the family's 1533-position model. The record is from RNAcentral.
CAGCAGCCGCGGUAAUACGAAGGGUGCAAGCGUUAAUCGGAAUUACUGGGCGUAAAGCGUGCGUAGGCGGUUUGUUAAGUCUGUUGUGAAAUCCCCGGGCUCAACCUGGGAAUGGCAAUGGAUACUGGCAAGCUAGAGUGUGUCAGAGGAUGGUGGAAUUCCCGGUGUAGCGGUGAAAUGCGUAGAGAUCGGGAGGAACAUCAGUGGCGAAGGCGGCCAUCUGGGACAACACUGACGCUGAGGCACGAAAGCGUGGGGAGCAAACAGGAUUAGAGACCCCCGUAGUCCCUGUCUCUUAUAC